CAGAGGGCGCGAGCGUUGUCCGGAAUUAUUGGGCGUAAAGCGCGCGCAGGCGGUUCCUUAAGUCUGAUGUGAAAGCCCCCGGCUCAACCGGGGAAGGUCAUUGGAAACUGGGGAACUUGAGUGCAGAAGAGAAGAGCGGAAUUCCACGUGUAGCGGUGAAAUGCGUAGAGAUGUGGAGGAACACCAGUGGCGAAGGCGGCUCUUUGGUCUGUAACUGACGCUGAGGCGCGAAAGCGUGGGGAGCAAACAGGAUUAGAUACCCUGGUAGUCCACGCCGUAAACGAUGAGUGCUAAGUGUUAGAGGGUUUCCGCCCUUUAGUGCUGCAGCUAACGCAUUAAGCACUCCGCCUGGGGAGUACGGCCGCAAGGCUG
RNAcentral lists this ribosomal RNA (372 nucleotides) under uncultured organism. RNAcentral's name for it is "bacterial SSU rRNA". It matches the Rfam family "Bacterial small subunit ribosomal RNA", at positions 526 to 896 of the family's 1533-position model. The record is from RNAcentral.